UUUCUUUUUCUUUUUAGUCCUAACACUUGAUUGUUCGUUCACUUUUCUUCGCUGUUCUGAAGCUACGACAUGGUGCUUUCUAAUGCACUUUUUUUCUCUGUUUCCAAACUAAGCAGCGAUGACCUUUGGAAUUUUCAUCGAAGAUGAUCGGUAAGAACCCUUCAAUCUACGACUUAUUUCAGCAUCGUUCUUAGCAGCUCUUCAGUUUCAUCUAAUUCCAUUUCGGAUGCAGGGUUUGGGUUUUGUCUAAUUAAAGGUGAUUUAAGAUUAGACUAUGGCUAUGGUUUCCGACGGAAGUAUGCGAGAUUAUACAGAGGGGUUGCAGUCUUGCACUGAAGCAGCUUAGAUGUGGAUGGCACUUAGUGGACAAAGGACAAAGGCUGCUGAGGAAUAGAGUUUCAGCUCAACACGCUAGGAAAAAGGCAUAACAAUGAAGAGGAAAAGAUAUACUUAAAAUUAUUUGCAGAAUUCAUACCUCAGGGAUAGAUUUUUUCACUUUGCAGAAUAAGAAUCAAAUGCUUAAUGCAAAGACAGUUGCUGAAGAAUACAACAGGAGAGGGAGCAAUGGUGGUACUAAUCAUGUUCAAUGAACUCAUCACAAAAAUAGCUUAGGAAACAUAGAAUUGUAAUAGAGUUUAAUGUUUGUUUUGAUUAUUCUCACUUUGUAGGGUGUAUGUGGAUAAGACAUGCAUUAUUACUAAAAUAGCUAAUGUCAAAUUUCAUUAUGUAUGUUUUUUUGUUGAAAAAAAAUCAUACGUAUUGAAAUGGUAGUGUUUUUUCUCAUUCGUGUUUGAGGACAAACAACUAAGAUCGAUAUGAUUAUCAUGGAUGAUAAGGUUUUUGUUUCAACUAUUUUAUUUAACUUAGUAUUGUGCAUUCAUAUUUGGUACUUUUAAUUUUGGGAAAUAUUUCAUCCAUGAUAGUGAUUUUAUUCAUUGGAACAAUGUAUCUGACUGUUUUGCAGGACCUGCUAUAUGAAGGGACGAUUUUUUGGAAGUGUUUUUAUUGUUAAUUUUUUUCCUUUCAGUUUUGUUUAAUUUUAAUUUGAUUUGGAAAAUUGAUUACGAUUCUAUGAUUGGUUCAAUUUUUAUAUUUCUAAGUUUUCUUAAAUUGAAUAGGAGUGAAUUUAUAAAAUGAUUGUUUAUUUGACAGAUUUUGAUAUUGAUUUUAUGAAAGUUUCUAUCUUGCAGAGAUAGCAUACUAUGUGAGCAAUGAUGAAUCUUACAAGGAGUGAUACAAGUUGGUUACCUCUAACUAUGUGUCAUUACUUGCUUCUGGUAGUUUUUUUUAUGAAUCUUUAUGUGAAAUAAGAUGUUGUAAGAGAUUGCCCUUAACAUUAGCGUAUUUUUCAAGGACUAACAAUUUGUACAAUUAUUGUUUGAAGGUUAAGUUAUGCAGGACACCCGCAGAACAAGAAGGAAUGAAUCAACAAAUCAUAUCACUAAAUUAUGUGAAGAUAUAAAGGGGAUAGUGUUGUACGUAGUUGAAGUUUAGAGGUUGUGACCGCCAUUGUAUGUUACUAAUGUAAUGUGUUGAUUCAUAUUAAAAAAUUUGUUUGGUGAUUGUGGUAGAUAAAUGUUAUGACAGUAGACCUAUAGUCCCCUCUUUUCCAAUUAUGUAAGGGAUGUUUUACAAUGUAUGGGAUUGACGAGGUUACCCUAAUAAAUGAAAACAGAGGUUUAUAUGCC
Lotus japonicus is the source of this 1688-nucleotide long non-coding RNA. RefSeq lists it as uncharacterized. The transcript is spliced from 2 exons. NCBI's taxonomy places the organism in Eukaryota, Viridiplantae, Streptophyta, Magnoliopsida, Fabales, Fabaceae. The record is from RefSeq and is a predicted model, not a curated record.